RNAcentral lists this ribosomal RNA (504 nucleotides) under uncultured microorganism. RNAcentral describes it as "bacterial SSU rRNA". It matches the Rfam family "Bacterial small subunit ribosomal RNA", at positions 9 to 498 of the family's 1533-position model. The record is from RNAcentral.
GAGUUUGAUCGUGGCUCAGGAUGAACGCUGGCGGCGUGCCUAAUACAUGCAAGUCGAGCGAACAGACGAGGAGCUUGCUCCUCUGACGUUAGCGGCGGACGGGUGAGUAACACGUGGAUAACCUACCUAUAAGACUGGGAUAACUUCGGGAAACCGGAGCUAAUACCGAAUAAUAUAUUGAACCGCAUGGUUCAAUAGUGAAAAACGGUUUUGCUGUCACUUAUAGAUGGAUCCGCGCCGCAUUAGCUAGUUGGUAGGGUAACGGCUUACCAAGGCGACGAUGCGUAGCCGACCUGAGAGGGUGAUCGGCCACACUGGAACUGAGACACGGUCCAGACUCCUACGGGAGGCAGCAGUAGGGAAUCUUCCGCAAUGGGCGAAAGCCUGACGGAGCAACGCCGCGUGAGUGAUGAAGGUCUUCGGAUCGUAAAACUCUGUUAUUAGGAAGACAAAUGUGUAGUAACUAUGCACGCCUUGACGGUACCUAAUCAGAAAGCCACGGCU